AGUGAACGCUGGCGGUAGGCCUAACACAUGCAAGUCGAACGGCAGCACAGUAAGGGCUUGCUCUUACGGGUGGCGAGUGGCGGACGGGUGAGGAAUACAUCGGAAUCUACUUUUUCGUGGGGGAUAACGUAGGGAAACUUACGCUAAUACCGCAUACGACCUACGGGUGAAAGCAGGGGAUCUUCGGACCUUGCGCGAUUGAAUGAGCCGAUGUCGGAUUAGCUAGUUGGCGGGGUAAAGGCCCACCAAGGCGACGAUCCGUAGCUGGUCUGAGAGGAUGAUCAGCCACACUGGAACUGAGACACGGUCCAGACUCCUACGGGAGGCAGCAGUGGGGAAUAUUGGACAAUGGGCGCAAGCCUGAUCCGGCCAUACCGCGUGGGUGAAGAAGGCCUUCGGGUUGUAAAGCCCUUUUGUUGGGAAAGAAAAGCAGCAGGUUAAUACCCCGCUGUUCUGACGGUACCCAAAGAAUAAGCACCGGCUAACUUCGUG
This 492-nucleotide ribosomal RNA is filed under the name uncultured bacterium. RNAcentral describes it as "partial 16S ribosomal RNA". It matches the Rfam family "Bacterial small subunit ribosomal RNA", at positions 29 to 507 of the family's 1533-position model. The record is from RNAcentral.